CCUACGGGAGGCAGCAGUGAGGAAUAUUGGUCAAUGGGCUUACGCCUGAACCAGCCAAGUCGCGUGAGGGAAGACUGCCCUAUGGGUUGUAAACCUCUUUUGUCAGGGAGCAAUUGGCGCUACGUGUAGCGUUAUCGAGAGUACCUGAAGAAAAAGCAUCGGCUAACUCCGUGCCAGCAGCCGCGGUAAUACGGAGGAUGCGAGCGUUAUCCGGAUUUAUUGGGUUUAAGGGGUGCGUAGGCGGAAUGCCAAGUCAGCGGUAAAAUCGCGGGGCUCAACCUCGCUCCGCCGUUGAAACUGGCGUGCUUGAGUGGGCGAGAAGUAUGCGGAAUGCGUGGUGUAGCGGUGAAAUGCAUAGAUAUCACGCAGAACUCCGAUUGCGAAGGCAGCAUACCGGCGCCCAACUGACGCUGAAGCACGAAAGCGUGGGUAUCGAACAGGAUUAGAUACCCCUGUAGUC
Molecule: ribosomal RNA, 460 nt
Filed under: uncultured bacterium
Lineage: Bacteria
Description: partial 16S ribosomal RNA
Rfam family: Bacterial small subunit ribosomal RNA
Source: RNAcentral